This 644-nucleotide ribosomal RNA is filed under the name uncultured Actinoplanes sp. RNAcentral describes it as "bacterial SSU rRNA". It matches the Rfam family "Bacterial small subunit ribosomal RNA", at positions 232 to 886 of the family's 1533-position model. The record is from RNAcentral. Lineage: Bacteria; Bacillati; Actinomycetota; Actinomycetes; Micromonosporales; Micromonosporaceae.
CGCGGCCUAUCAGCUUGUUGGUGGGGUAAUGGCCUACCAAGGCGACGACGGGUAGCCGGCCUGAGAGGGCGACCGGCCACACUGGGACUGAGACACGGCCCAGACUCCUACGGGAGGCAGCAGUGGGGAAUAUUGCGCAAUGGGCGAAAGCCUGACGCAGCGACGCCGCGUGAGGGACGACGGCCUUCGGGUUGUAAACCUCUUUCAGCAGGGACGAAGCGAAAGUGACGGUACCUGCAGAAGAAGCACCGGCCAACUACGUGCCAGCAGCCGCGGUAAUACGUAGGGUGCAAGCGUUGUCCGGAAUUAUUGGGCGUAAAGAGCUCGUAGGCGGUCUGUCACGUCGGAUGUGAAAACUCGGGGCUCAACCCCGAGCCUGCAUUCGAUACGGGCAGACUUGAGUUCGGCAGGGGAGACUGGAAUUCCUGGUGUAGCGGUGAAAUGCGCAGAUAUCAGGAGGAACACCGGUGGCGAAGGCGGGUCUCUGGGCCGAUACUGACGCUGAGGAGCGAAAGCGUGGGGAGCGAACAGGAUUAGAUACCCUGGUAGUCCACGCCGUAAACGGUGGGCGCUAGGUGUGGGGAACUUUCCACGUUCUCCGUGCCGCAGCUAACGCAUUAAGCACCCCGCCUGGGGAGUACGGA